This 497-nucleotide ribosomal RNA is filed under the name uncultured bacterium. Its description in RNAcentral is "partial 16S ribosomal RNA". It matches the Rfam family "Bacterial small subunit ribosomal RNA", at positions 28 to 507 of the family's 1533-position model. The record is from RNAcentral.
GAUGAACGCUGGCGGCGUGCCUAAUACAUGCAAGUCGAGCGAACGGACGAGAAGCUUGCUUCUCUGAUGUUAGCGGCGGACGGGUGAGUAACACGUGGAUAACCUACCUAUAAGACUGGGAUAACUUCGGGAAACCGGAGCUAAUACCGGAUAAUAUUUUGAACCGCAUGGUUCAAAAGUGAAAGACGGUCUUGCUGUCACUUAUAGAUGGAUCCGCGCUGCAUUAGCUAGUUGGUAAGGUAACGGCUUACCAAGGCAACGAUGCAUAGCCGACCUGAGAGGGUGAUCGGCCAAACUGGAACUGAGACACGGGCCAGACUCCUAAGGGAGGCAGCAGGAGGGAAUCUUCCGCAAAGGGCGAAAGCCUGACGGAGCAACGCCGCGUGAGUGAUGAAGGUUUUCGGAUCGUAAAACUCUGUUAUUAGGGAAGAACAUAUGUGUAAGUAACUGUGCACAUCUUGACGGUACCUAAUCAGAAAGCCACGGCUAACUACGUG